GAUGAACGCUGGCGGCGUGCUUAACACAUGCAAGUCGAACGGAAAGGCCAGUCCUUGCACUGGUACUCGAGUGGCGAACGGGUGAGUAACACGUGGGUGAUCUGCCCUUCACUUUGGGAUAAGCUUGGGAAACUGGGUCUAAUACCGGAUAGGACCACCUCGUUGAUGUUGUGGGGGAAAGGUUUUUCGGUGUGGGAUGAGCUCGCGCCCAAUCAGCUUGUGGGUGGGGUAAUGGCCUAGGAAGGCGUCGACGGGUGGCCGGCCUGGGAGAGUGUACGGAUACGUUGGGACUGAGAUACGGCACAGACACCUACGGGAGGAGGGAGGGGGGAAGAUUGCAGAGUGGGCGGAAGCCUGAUGAAGCGACGGCGCGGGAGGGAGGACGGCCGUCUGGUUGCAAACUCCUCUCGCGAAAGACGGAGUUUGACGGUAUUUGGUGAAGAAGCACCGGCUAACUACGUG
RNAcentral lists this ribosomal RNA (462 nucleotides) under uncultured bacterium. RNAcentral's name for it is "partial 16S ribosomal RNA". It matches the Rfam family "Bacterial small subunit ribosomal RNA", at positions 28 to 507 of the family's 1533-position model. The record is from RNAcentral.